Molecule: long non-coding RNA, 869 nt
Organism: Zalophus californianus (California sea lion)
Lineage: Eukaryota; Metazoa; Chordata; Mammalia; Carnivora; Otariidae
Exons: 7
Source: RefSeq, a predicted model, not a curated record
UAAGCAGCAGGGAAAUUAUCCUUCUUCUUCUGCAGCUAAGGAAUGGCCACCUACUCUAUGAAGAUAUCCUGAGAGAGACAUAGGACUCAGGGACCAAGGCUCAUUUAAAGAGGACUUACAACACAGGAAAGGGAGACCACAUGGAUAUGCAUUCAAGUGAAUCCCACAAACAAACUAUGGAGCUGACCCUGAAUUGAAGGACCAUUUUGAUUCAGACAAUGGUGCUCAGAACGCCCGCACUGCUGUUUGUUCAUGCUCUGACAGCUGCAAGUUGGGGAUAUGGGGGAAGUACACCCCUAUUUGUAAUCUGGGCUAAGAUGUAAUGAAUAGAAGCAAAAUGCAAGAAGACCACCUACAACCCUGGAAGAAUAUGCAGGUGGAAGAAGUGAUUGGCGCAGGCCCUCUGACGUCACGUCAGCCUACUCUUGACCAUCGGAUGAUUCGUCAGGAGGAUCAUCUGCCUCCGACUAUGGAGGCCCUCUGACGUCACGUCAGCCUACUCUUGACCAUCGGAUGAUUCGUCAGGAGGAUCAUCUGCCUCCGACUAUGGAACGCAAAACUGCAGAAAUUGCCACAGCCACCCCAGCCUUCAGCAGCUACCACCCUGAUCCACAAGCAGUCAUCAAUGUUGACGCAGGAUCCUCCACCAGAAAAAUGAUUACGACUUGCUGAAAGUUCAGAUGAUGCAAAUACAUGCUGAGGGGAGAUGGAAAUGGGGCUGCAGAGAAGGAACCCACUUAAUGGCUUUCUAUACUCUAUAAGACUCGGAGAAUUCGGGAAACAUUGAACUGUGCUGAUUUUUUUAAAACACAGUUGGAAUUGUUUAGUAAUGCUUCAUUUGUAUGCAGAAACCCCGACACAUAUUAAAA